CCUACGGGUGGCAGCAGUGGGGAAUAUUGGGCAAUGGGCGCAAGCCUGACCCAGCAACGCCGCGUGAAGGAAGAAGGCUUUCGGGUUGUAAACUUCUUUUCUGAGGGACGAAGAAAGUGACGGUACCUCAGGAAUAAGCCACCGCUAACUACGUGCCAGCAGCCGCGGCAAUACGUAGGUGGCAAGCGUUAUCCGGAAGUACUGGGUGUAAAGGGAGCGUAGACGGCUGUGCAAGUCUGGAGUGAAAGGCGGGGGCCCAACCCCCGGACUGCACUGGAAACUGUAUGGCUGGAGUGCAGGAGAGGUAAGCGGAAGUCCUAGUGUAGCGGGGAAAUGCGUAGAUAUUAGGAGGAACACCAGUGGCGAAGGCGGCUUACUGGACUGUAACUGACGUUGAGGCUCGAAAGCGUGGGGAGCAAACAGGAUUAGAUACCCCAGUAGUC
RNAcentral lists this ribosomal RNA (443 nucleotides) under uncultured bacterium. RNAcentral describes it as "partial 16S ribosomal RNA". It matches the Rfam family "Bacterial small subunit ribosomal RNA", at positions 338 to 795 of the family's 1533-position model. The record is from RNAcentral.